AUUGAACGCUGGCGGCGUGCCUAACGCAUGCAAGUCGAGCGGUAACAGGUGUAGCAAUACAUGCUGACGAGCGGCGAACGGGUGAGUAAUGCUUCGGAAUCUACCUUAUGGUGGGGAAUAACUAGCCGAAAGGUUAGCUAAUACCGCAUACGUCCUACGGGAGAAAGCAGGGGAUCGCAAGACCUUGCGCCAAAAGAUGAGCCGAAGUCGGAUUAGCUAGUUGGUAGGGUAACGGCCUACCAAGGCGACGAUCCGUAGCUGUCUGAGAGGACGACCAGCCACGCUGGGACUGAGACACGGCCCAGACUACUACGGGAGGCAGCAGUGGGGAAUAUUGGACAAUGGGGGAAACCCUGAUCAAGCGACGCCGCGUGGGUGAAGAAGGCCUGCGGGUUGUAAAGCACUUUUAGUGGGGAUGAAAUGUGCAGGGUUAAUACCUCUGCAUUUUGACCUAACCCACAGAAAAAGCACCGGCUAACUCUGUGCCAGCCGCCGCAGUAA
RNAcentral lists this ribosomal RNA (501 nucleotides) under uncultured bacterium. RNAcentral's name for it is "partial 16S ribosomal RNA". It matches the Rfam family "Bacterial small subunit ribosomal RNA", at positions 30 to 523 of the family's 1533-position model. The record is from RNAcentral.